AUUAACAAUAAGAGCAGAAGAAUAGCUUUCUGGUAGCAGUAUACAUCUGUGAUUCAUUAUUACUGUCUCUUAACAAGCUGUUUACAUAAUCUGUGGUAAUAAAAAGCAUUAUUAUUGUGUUGUUCACUAUUUUUGUGAGUAAAGAAUUUAUGACGAGCAUUCCUUUGUUGAUGUUCCAAUGAUCUUGGUGUAUUUUUCUCUAAAACAAUGCUAGGGAAGUUGCUGCUAAUAAUAUCAUGGUUAGAACACCAACACUUCUCAAGGAAUUUGACAUUUCUGAAGAACCAUUUCCAGCCGAGUCUGGACUAGUACUCGUUGGAGGUGGCAUAAUAUUUCCAUUCGAACCUGAUGGUGGUGUUGGUGGCGAUGAAGCUGGGGGACCAAACCCAAGGCUAUUGCAAUCUGCUCCAAAGUAGCAUUGUUCAAAACAGGGUAACUCUGUAUUAUUGGCUAAAUUUGAUGAGCCUUCAUUGCACUGGCAAGUGUGUCCUCUUCCAUUAGGCAAGCAGGAUCCAUCGGCACACCAAAUUAAGUUACAAGGGUUUGAUAAAUUUAGUGAAGGUGGAGGGCUAGGAACUGAUGGAGGAGGUGGUGGUGGAGAUCCAUUACCACAUUGUAAAUCAAUUGUGCAAUUGGGAAUUAGGCAAGAGGGAAAGGUCAAUGGACCAAUCUGAAUCUUGUUCCAACCAGAAUAGCAGUCACACUCAAAACCAGGCCAUGUGCUAAUACUCUUGCAUGUCCCUAGCCCACAGAAAACAGAACCACACAAACCAUCUCCUGAAGUCGAGUUUUGAGAAGUAGCAGUUGGAUUGCAUGUGAAAAGGGUCAAGAGAAGAAUAAAGGGAGAAAAAAGAGAGAAGUUGAAAUUGUAUCUCUCCAUAUUUCUUAGGGUGGCCAAUGGCUGAGGACAAGCAGGUUGGUAAUGACAGUUAAAAGAGUAUUUAUAAGAAAA
RNAcentral lists this unclassified non-coding RNA (952 nucleotides) under Hevea brasiliensis (rubber tree). The record is from RNAcentral. Lineage: Eukaryota; Viridiplantae; Streptophyta; Magnoliopsida; Malpighiales; Euphorbiaceae.